GACGACCGGCUGGACACCCAUGUGUCCGGCCAGCAAGUGGAGGCUCCGAUCUCCCACCUGGUCGGCCCCAGGGCCGACGGGUCCCGGUCAGACGGUCACCCGGACGGCUUCCCGCCGAUCGGGCCCCGUCCGAUGCGCCCCGCGGAAUAGCGCGGCGGUGCUCCCGGUUGUGAGGAGCCCCGCCUGUCUCCCGUAUGGGGCGUUUUUU
Molecule: non-coding RNA, 208 nt
Filed under: Streptomyces sp. DvalAA-14
Lineage: Bacteria; Bacillati; Actinomycetota; Actinomycetes; Kitasatosporales; Streptomycetaceae
Description: Streptomyces RNA 1601
Rfam family: Streptomyces RNA 1601
About the family: Identified by deep sequencing of transcriptome at the end of exponential growth phase. Appears longer on northern blot than sequencing transcript.
Source: Rfam by way of RNAcentral